RNAcentral lists this non-coding RNA (90 nucleotides) under pig gut metagenome. Its description in RNAcentral is "Glycine riboswitch". It matches the Rfam family "Glycine riboswitch aptamer". Rfam says of the family: This family represents the bacterial glycine riboswitch. Glycine riboswitches usually consist of two metabolite-binding aptamers domains with similar structures in tandem. The record is from RNAcentral.
GUACUCCGGAGAAGCCGCAUCUGCUGCGGUGCCGAAGGUGCAACAGUAAUUUUUGUUACUGAAAUCUCUCAGGCAAAAGGACGGAGAAUG